This 477-nucleotide ribosomal RNA is filed under the name uncultured bacterium. RNAcentral describes it as "bacterial SSU rRNA". It matches the Rfam family "Bacterial small subunit ribosomal RNA", at positions 380 to 849 of the family's 1533-position model. The record is from RNAcentral.
AGCCUGAUCCAGCCAUGCCGCGUGUGUGAAGAAGGCUUUCGGGUUGUAAAGCACUUUCAGCGAGGAAGAAGGCCUGAUGAUUAAUACUUGUCAGGAAGGACAUCACUCGCAGAAGAAGCACCGGCUAACUCCGUGCCAGCAGCCGCGGUAAUACGGAGGGUGCAAGCGUUAAUCGGAAUUACUGGGCGUAAAGCGCGCGUAGGUGGCUUGAUAAGCCGGUUGUGAAAGCCCCGGGCUCAACCUGGGAACUGCAUCCGGAACUGUUAGGCUAGAGUGCAGGAGAGGAAGGUAGAAUUCCCGGUGUAGCGGUGAAAUGCGUAGAGAUCGGGAGGAAUACCAGUGGCGAAGGCGGCCUUCUGGACUGACACUGACACUGAGGUGCGAAAGCGUGGGUAGCAAACAGGAUUAGAUACCCUGGUAGUCCACGCCGUAAACGAUGUCGGCUAGCCGUUGGGAGCCUCGANNNNNNAGUGGCGC